RNAcentral lists this ribosomal RNA (440 nucleotides) under uncultured bacterium. RNAcentral's name for it is "partial 16S ribosomal RNA". It matches the Rfam family "Bacterial small subunit ribosomal RNA", at positions 338 to 795 of the family's 1533-position model. The record is from RNAcentral.
CCUACGGGAGGCAGCAGUGGGGAAUAUUGCACAAUGGGGGAAACCCUGAUGCAGCGACGCCGCGUGAGUGAAGAAGUAAUUCGUUAUGUAAAGCUCUAUCAGCAGGGAAGAAAAUGACGGUACCUGAGUAAGAAGCCCCGGCUAACUACGUGCCAGCAGCCGCGGUAAUACGUAGGGGGCAAGCGUUAUCCGGAUUUACUGGGCGUAAAGGGUGCGUAGGCGGCAGUGCAAGUCUGGAGUGAAAGGCGGGGGCUCAACCCCCGGACUGCUCUGGAAACUGUACGGCUGGAGUGCAGGAGAGGUAAGUGGAAUUCCUAGUGUAGCGGUGAAAUGCGUAGAUAUUAGGAGGAACACCAGUGGCGAAGGCGACUUACUGGACUGUAACUGACGUUGAGGCUCGAAAGCGUGGGGAGCAAACAGGAUUAGAUACCCCAGUAGUC